CAUCGGUUCUAACCUACCUUAC
Molecule: non-coding RNA, 22 nt
Filed under: Arabidopsis thaliana (thale cress)
Lineage: Eukaryota; Viridiplantae; Streptophyta; Magnoliopsida; Brassicales; Brassicaceae
Source: RNAcentral